CCUUUUACAAUAUAUUUUUUUAGGCUAUUCAUAGCCGAUUUAUAAUGUUAUUUUUAUAUUUUCUCUACUGUUCUUGUUGCUUGUCUGUUCUUCUUUCUCUUUUUUGCAGGUAGUGGUUGACGGCGGUGGCAGAGUAGUUGGUGGUGGUAGGUUAGGGUGCGGCCGCUAGGUAUUAGGGUUUUUUUCUGAGAAAACAGUUUAGGUCGUUGGGCUUAUAAUUGGGUCUUAGGAUUUUUUAAUUUGGGCUAUUUAGACUGUGUAUUUAGGCCUUAUAUGUAAUUGGAUUGGGACUAUUUAUUUUUAUUUUUAUUUUUUUGGUUGUUGUUUAGGGCCCAGCAAAAUUGGGCCCUUACAAUUAUCCUUCUAGGUAUUUUUUUUAAAAAUUUCACUCAAAAACAUUAAUCUUUAAAAAAUUUUAACCUAUUCCGAAAUUAUUAAGAAAUUGAUUUAGUGGUAGAAAGAAGAAUAAAAGUUUAUUAAAAGGGAUAAUAGCAACAAAUCUCC
RNAcentral lists this long non-coding RNA (504 nucleotides) under Gossypium raimondii (Peruvian cotton). RNAcentral describes it as "long non-coding RNA (GRAI_LNC010718)". The record is from RNAcentral. Lineage: Eukaryota; Viridiplantae; Streptophyta; Magnoliopsida; Malvales; Malvaceae.